Molecule: long non-coding RNA, 961 nt
Organism: Oncorhynchus tshawytscha (Chinook salmon)
Lineage: Eukaryota; Metazoa; Chordata; Actinopteri; Salmoniformes; Salmonidae
Source: Ensembl
CCUGACACCACCACAAAUAAACCAACCCUGGCUCCUGUCACUACCGCCAAGGCAACACCGAGUCCACCUAUGGAGGCUCCAGAGCUGGUGUGUGGGUUGGAACCUCCUAGAGGUGGGUCUCAUCAGGGCUGGUCUGGAUGCUUCCACUGCUCACCUGGCCAACCAGCUCUGCUCCUCCCACCAGGAGCAUGUAAGGACACAGUGUGGCACCAGGGGGAAUGCAAGACUUGUUCAAGGAGGAACAUCCACUCCGUGUCCCGCUCUGUCCCGAUCAAGACCCUUACUAUCGGACCAAUCACCUUGGGACGAGACCAGUGGUUUUCAUCAGGGCUGGGACCAACAGGCGUUUCACAACGUCUCACCUUAUUCACCUAUUCAAGGGCUUGAUGAUUAUUUGACAAGUUCAAUCAGGGGGCCAGGAUCUGGAGAGAGCUGUACGUCAUCACCUACCUGUUUCCUGUCUUCUUAGCCAUAUGUCCCUCGAGCAUGUCUAGUGCCACCCCCCCCCCUCCCUCCCUCACUCUUUUUAUUUAGAACAUAAAAAAUGUCUUCUAAUUUGGAACAUGAGGAAUCCUAGAAUAAGCCUCACUACCCUACACUGUCCUAGGAAAUCUGGUCAUCUUUCUUUCCCCAACUUUAAGCUAUUUUUUGGGGCUUUUCAGAUGAGAACAUUUGAGAUCUGGCUAAACCCUACCUUUGAUGUGCCUUGGCGAAUAGUAAACAAAAUAAAAGGCUUUGUGCUCCCCAAUCAGAAUGCAAGAUCUUCCAUUUUGGGUCACAUUGGGUCUAGCCACAUUGGGUCUAUAUCAAGCUCCUUGAUUGUUUUGGCAGCAAAUCAAUAACGUCUACUCCUCAAUCUUCAUGAAAUCUUGCAGAUUUUGGAAUAAUUUCCUACUGUCUCGUUCCAUGCCCUUCACCUUUCCCCAAUGAUCUGGUAUACAUGUGCUGUCAGAUAUCUGUC